GAUGAACGCUGGCUACAGGCUUAGCACACGCAAGUCGUGGGGAAACGGCAUUAUGUGCUUGCACAUUCUGGACGUCGACCGGCGCACGGGUGAGUAUCGCGUAUCCAACCUGCCCCUUACUUGGGGAUACCCCGUUGAAAGACGGCCUAAUACCCGAUGUGUUUCAUUGACGGCAUCCGAUAUGAAACAAAGGUUUUUCCGGUAAGGGAUGGGGAUGCGUCUGAUUAGCUAGUUGGCGGGGCAACGGCCCACCAAGGCGACGAUCAGUAGGGGUUCUGAGAGGAAGGUCCCCCACAUUGGAACUGAGACACGGUCCAAACUCCUACGGGAGGCAGCAGUGAGGAAUAUUGGUCAAUGGACGCAAGUCUGAACCAGCCAAGUAGCGUGCAGGAUGACGGCCCUAUGGGUUGUAAACUGCUUUUAUGUGGGAAUAAAGUGGCGCACGUGUGCGCCAUUGCAUGUACCUCAUGAAUAAGGACCGGCUAAUUCCGUGCCAGCAGCCGCGGUAAUACGGAAGGUCCGGGCGUUAUCCGGAUUUAUUGGGUUUAAAGGGAGUGUAGGCGGUCUGUUAAGCGUGUUGUGAAAUUUAGGUGCUCAACAUUUAACUUGCAGCGCGAACUGUCAGACUUGAGUACACGCAGCGCAGGCGGAAUUCAUGGUGUAGCGGUGAAAUGCUUAGAUAUCAUGAGGAACUCCGAUCGCGAAGGCAGCCUGCGGGAGUGUUACUGACGCUUAAGCUCGGAGGUGCGGGUAUCGAACAGG
RNAcentral lists this ribosomal RNA (762 nucleotides) under Prevotella nigrescens. RNAcentral describes it as "bacterial SSU rRNA". It matches the Rfam family "Bacterial small subunit ribosomal RNA", at positions 28 to 776 of the family's 1533-position model. The record is from RNAcentral. Lineage: Bacteria; Pseudomonadati; Bacteroidota; Bacteroidia; Bacteroidales; Prevotellaceae.